This 254-nucleotide ribosomal RNA is filed under the name uncultured bacterium. RNAcentral's name for it is "partial 16S ribosomal RNA". It matches the Rfam family "Bacterial small subunit ribosomal RNA", at positions 524 to 776 of the family's 1533-position model. The record is from RNAcentral.
UACGAAGGGGGCUAGCGUUGCUCGGAAUGACUGGGCGUAAAGGGCGCGUAGGCGGCUUAUAUUGUCAGGCGUGAAAUUCCUGGGCUCAACCUGGGGGCUGCGCUUGAUACGUAUGGGCUUGAGUGGGGAAGAGGGUCGUGGAAUUCCCAGCGUAGAGGUGAAAUUCGUAGAUAUUGGGAAGAACACCGGUGGCGAAGGCGGCGACCCGGUCCUUUUACUGACGCUGAGGCGCGAAAGCGUGGGGAGCAAACAGG